Molecule: long non-coding RNA, 259 nt
Organism: Populus euphratica (Euphrates poplar)
Lineage: Eukaryota; Viridiplantae; Streptophyta; Magnoliopsida; Malpighiales; Salicaceae
Exons: 2
Source: RefSeq, a predicted model, not a curated record
GACAGUUGGCGGGUGAUUAAGAUGAUUGCUGGAAAAUAUUGUUCCGCUUUUCGAGACAUCGGAGGGAAAGAAUCUGAGCUAGUGGAGAAAAUAUAUAUCUGAGGUGCUGCAUGAGUUGAAGAAAUCCAGAACUGGGCUGAUAAUUCUUGCUUUCAUUAUCGCACUGUGAGUUUUGAUGUCAUAUUUUUGAGCUUGAUUGAAGAGGUCGGAAGAAAGAAAAACCACUGAGAAGGCGAAGAAACAAAAUGAGAGAGGAGGG